This 588-nucleotide ribosomal RNA is filed under the name uncultured Planococcus sp. RNAcentral describes it as "bacterial SSU rRNA". It matches the Rfam family "Bacterial small subunit ribosomal RNA", at positions 338 to 918 of the family's 1533-position model. Lineage: Bacteria; Bacillati; Bacillota; Bacilli; Caryophanales; Caryophanaceae. The record is from RNAcentral.
CCUACGGGAGGCAGCAGUAGGGAAUCUUCCGCAAUGGACGAAAGUCUGACGGAGCAACGCCGCGUGAGUGACGAAGGUUUUCGGAUCGUAAAACUCUGUUGUGAGGGAAGAACAAGUGCCAACUAACUACUGGCACCUUGACGGUACCUCACCAGAAAGCCACGGCUAACUACGUGCCAGCAGCCGCGGUAAUACGUAGGUGGCAAGCGUUGUCCGGAAUUAUUGGGCGUAAAGCGCGCGCAGGCGGUCCUUUAAGUCUGAUGUGAAAGCCCACGGCUCAACCGUGGAGGGUCAUUGGAAACUGGAGGACUUGAGUGCAGAAGAGGAAAGUGGAAUUCCAUGUGUAGCGGUGAAAUGCGUAGAGAUGUGGAGGAACACCAGUGGCGAAGGCGACUUUCUGGUCUGUAACUGACGCUGAGGCGCGAAAGCGUGGGGAGCAAACAGGAUUAGAUACCCUGGUAGUCCACGCCGUAAACGAUGAGUGCUAAGUGUUAGGGGGUUUCCGCCCCUUAGUGCUGCAGCUAACGCAUUAAGCACUCCGCCUGGGGAGUACGGCCGCAAGGCUGAAACUCAAAUGAAUUGACGGGG